This 439-nucleotide ribosomal RNA is filed under the name uncultured bacterium. Its description in RNAcentral is "partial 16S ribosomal RNA". It matches the Rfam family "Bacterial small subunit ribosomal RNA", at positions 339 to 795 of the family's 1533-position model. The record is from RNAcentral.
CUACGGGUUGCAGCAGUGAGGAAUAUUGCACAAUGGGGGGAACCCUGAUGCAGCAACGCCGCGUGGAGGAUGACGCAUUUCGGUGUGUAAACUCCUUUUAUAUGUCAAGAAAAUGACGGUAGCAUAUGAAUAAGCACCGGCUAACUCCGUGCCAGCAGCCGCGGUAAUACGGAGGGUGCUAGCGUUACUCGGAAUCACUGGGCGUAAAGGACGCGUAGGCGGGUUGGAAAGUCAGGUGUGAAAUCCUACAGCUUAACUGUAGAACUGCACUUGAAACUUCUAAUCUAGAGUAUGGGAGGGGGAGAUGGAAUUAGUGGUGUAGGGGUAAAAUCCGUAGAUAUCACUAGGAAUACCUAAAGCGAAGGCGAUCUCCUGGAACAUCACUGACGCUAAGGCGUGAAAGCGUGGGGAGCAAACAGGAUUAGAUACCCCGGUAGUC